ACUCCCAAACCCUUAUGUGAACCUACCUAUCGUUGCUUCGGCGGACUCGCCCCAGCCGGACGCGGACUGGACCAGCGGCCGCCGGGGACCAUCAAACUCUUGUAUUAUCAGCAUCUUCUGAAUACGCCGCAAGGCAAAACAAAUAAAUUAAAACUUUCAACAACGGAUCUCUUGGCUCUGGCAUCGAUGAAGAACGCAGCGAAAUGCGAUAAGUAAUGUGAAUUGCAGAAUCCAGUGAAUCAUCGAAUCUUUGAACGCACAUUGCGCCCGCCAGCAUUCUGGCGGGCAUGCCUGUUCGAGCGUCAUUUCAACCCUCGACCUCCCUUUGGGGAAGUCGGCGUUGGGGACCGGCAGCACACCGCCGGCCCUGAAAUGGAGUGGCGGCCCGUCCGCGGCGACCUCUGCGUAGUAAACCAACUCGCACCGGAACCCCGACGUGGCCACGCCGUAAAACACCCAACUUCUGAACGUUGACCUCGAAUCAGGUAGGACUACCCGCUGAACUUAAGCAUAUCAAUA
Molecule: ribosomal RNA, 519 nt
Filed under: Beauveria bassiana
Lineage: Eukaryota; Fungi; Ascomycota; Sordariomycetes; Hypocreales; Cordycipitaceae
Description: eukaryotic LSU rRNA
Rfam family: 5.8S ribosomal RNA (bases 152-305)
Source: RNAcentral